UCCUUUUGUAGAUAAUCUAAGGUCUAGCCUGCCCACUGAAGUUUUAAAUGGCCGUGGUAUUUUGACCGUGCUAAGGUAGCAUAAUCAUUAGUUUUUUAAUUAAAAACUGGAAUGAAAGGUUGGAUGAGAAAAUAGCUGUCUCUAUUGAAUUUAAUUAGAAUUUUAUUUUUAAGUUAAAAAGCUUAGUUAUUGUUAAAAGACGAGAAGACCCUAUAGAGUUUAAUUAUUUAGUAAAAAUUAUAUUUUAGUAUUAAUUUAUUUAUUUUAUUAAAUAAUUUAAUUGGGGUGAUUGAAAAAUUUAAUUAACUUUUUUUUAUUUAAUAACAUUAAUUUAUGAAUAAAUGAUCCAAUAUUUUUGAUUAUAAGAUAAAAUUACCUUAGGGAUAACAGCGUAAUUUUUUUAGAAAGUUCAUAUUAAAAAAAAAGAUUGCGACCUCGAUGUUGGAUUAAAAUAAAUUUUUGGUGUAGAAGCUAAAAUAUUAGGUCUGUUCGACCUUUAAAAUUUUACAUGAU
RNAcentral lists this ribosomal RNA (513 nucleotides) under Oreina speciosa. Its description in RNAcentral is "partial 16S ribosomal RNA". It matches the Rfam family "Bacterial large subunit ribosomal RNA", at positions 1830 to 2604 of the family's 2925-position model. Lineage: Eukaryota; Metazoa; Arthropoda; Insecta; Coleoptera; Chrysomelidae. The record is from RNAcentral.